RNAcentral lists this ribosomal RNA (425 nucleotides) under uncultured Caryophanales bacterium. Its description in RNAcentral is "bacterial SSU rRNA". It matches the Rfam family "Bacterial small subunit ribosomal RNA", at positions 356 to 774 of the family's 1533-position model. Lineage: Bacteria; Bacillati; Bacillota; Bacilli; Caryophanales. The record is from RNAcentral.
AGGGAAUCUUCCACAAUGGACGGAAGUCUGAUGGAGCAACGCCGCGUGAGUGAUGAAGGUUUUCGGAUCGUAAAACUCUGUUGUAAGGGAAGAACCAGUACGUCAGGCAAUGGACGUACCUUGACGGUACCUUAUUAGAAAGCCACGGCUAACUACGUGCCAGCAGCCGCGGUAAUACGUAGGUGGCAAGCGUUGUCCGGAAUUAUUGGGCGUAAAGCGCGCGCAGGUGGUUUCUUAAGUCUGAUGUGAAAGCCCACGGCUUAACUUUAAUAAGCAUAUGAAACUGUUCAGCUUGAGUUAAGGAGAGGGGAGUGGAAUUCCUAGUGUAGCGGUGAAAUGCGUAGAUAUUAGGAGGAAUACCAGUGGCGAAGGCGACUCUCUGGACUUAAACUGACGCUGAGGCACGAAAGCGUGGGGAGCAAACA